GGGGAAUAUUGCGCAAUGGGGGAAACCCUGACGCAGCAACGCCGCGUGAGUGAAGAAGGCUUUCGAGUCGUAAAACUCUGUCUUCAGGGAAGAAAAAUGACGGUACCUGAGGAGGAAGCCCCGGCUAACUACGUGCCAGCAGCCGCGGUAAUACGUAGGGGGCAAGCGUUGUCCGGAAUCACUGGGCGUAAAGGGCGCGUAGGCGGUAUAUUAAGUCAGGUGUGAAAGUUUUCGGCUCAACCGGAAAAGUGCACUUGAAACUAAUUUACUUGAGUACUGGAGAGGUAAGCGGAAUUCCUAGUGUAGCGGUGAAAUGCGUAGAUAUUAGGAAGAACACCGGUGGCGAAGGCGGCUUACUGGACAGAGACUGACGCUGAGGCGCGAAAGCGUGGGGAGCAAAC
This 401-nucleotide ribosomal RNA is filed under the name uncultured bacterium. RNAcentral's name for it is "bacterial SSU rRNA". It matches the Rfam family "Bacterial small subunit ribosomal RNA", at positions 356 to 773 of the family's 1533-position model. The record is from RNAcentral.